UACCGCGGUAAUUCCAGCUCCAAUAGCGUAUAUUAAAGUUGUUGCAGUUAAAAAGCUCGUAGUUGAAUUUCGGGAUCAAGGAAUCGGUCAUGCCUUGGUAUGUACUGGUUUUAUUGGUUCUCACCUUCUAAAGAACCAUAAUGUCAUUUAUUUGAUGUUAUGGGGAAUUAGGACUGUUACCUUGAAAAAAUUAGAGUGUUUAAAGCAAGCUUACGCUUGAAUACAUUAGCAUGGAAUAAUGAAAUAGGACAUCAGAUUCUAUUUUGUUGGUUUCUAGGAUCGAUGUAAUGAUUAAUAGGGAUAGUUGGGGGCAUUAGUAUUCAAUUGUCAGAGGUGAAAUUCUUGGAUUUAUUGAAGACUAACUACUGCGAAAGCAUUUGCCAAGGAUGUUUUCAUUAAUCAAGAACGAAAGUUAGGGGAUCGAAGACGAUCAGAUACCGUCGUAGUCUUAACCAUAAACUAUGCCGACUAGGGAUCGGAUGAUGUUAAUUUUUUAAUGACUCAUUCGGCACCUUACG
Molecule: unclassified non-coding RNA, 518 nt
Filed under: uncultured Glomeromycotina
Lineage: Eukaryota; Fungi; Glomeromycota
Description: SSU rRNA
Rfam family: Eukaryotic small subunit ribosomal RNA
Source: RNAcentral